Molecule: long non-coding RNA, 450 nt
Organism: Prunus dulcis (almond)
Lineage: Eukaryota; Viridiplantae; Streptophyta; Magnoliopsida; Rosales; Rosaceae
Exons: 3
Source: RefSeq, a predicted model, not a curated record
AGCUAGCAUCAAUGGCAGAAGAGAGUCUUCCUCUAUCACUUACACAACUUACUGUCUAUCAUUGUCCGCUGCUAGAAGAGAGAUGCAAACCAAGUAAAGGAAGAUAUUGGCCCUCCAUAGCACACAUCCCUUACAUUCGAAUUCAAGACCACGUGCAUAGAGGAAAUCCAGAUCAUGUCCCACGCCUCCUGUUCUCAUGCUCUCCUUCCAGAUCAGAGGACCAGAGGACCAAGCUAGCUAUCACGAACACAUAAAUUUCUUUCCUUAAAGCGAUCUUAUCGGAGAUCAAUUACGGGAUGCUUGAACAAUGGACCCUUUUACUCAUCAGCCUUUGUCCAGAGAUUUUGUCACAUGCUUUUGAUCAGGCUUCCUCACCAAGUAACCCUUGGUUUGCAUUUGGGAGCUUGUUAGGCUAAAAUGGAAAGAGAUGAAUUGAGGAGGUGGGGAGUG